Microcebus murinus (gray mouse lemur) is the source of this 8676-nucleotide non-coding RNA. The record is from RefSeq and is a predicted model, not a curated record. Lineage: Eukaryota; Metazoa; Chordata; Mammalia; Primates; Cheirogaleidae.
UCCUGGCCUGAAGUGAUCCUCCUGCCUUGGCUUCCUAAAGUGCUGGGAUUACAGGCAUGAGCCACUGAGCCUAGCCCCAGAAUGUUAAUGUAUGUGUGUUCAGGUGACUAUUUUACCAGGAAUAACAGUAGCCGCAGGUCAUGGGCCAUUGGCUGGGUGCCAAGCUGGGUGCGGUGUGUUCCUGCUAAGCUCCCAGCCUCCAUCUCUGCCCUCUCACGUUGCUACAGCCCUGCUGCCUUUGUUCUCCUCAGAUGUCUCUAGCUGGCUGCCUUCUUGGGGCCUCUGUGCUAGAAGUCCUGUUUGUCUGUGGCCUCUGCUGCCAGCUAGCUCACCCGCUUUUGUCCGUGUCAGCUCAGACGUCGCCACCUGGAGAAGACCUCUGGCCUACCUGCUCACCUCCACCCACCCCACCGCCCGCUCUGUCACAUUAUUUUGUUUAGUUUUCCUCCCUAUCUGGAAUUAUCCUAUUUCUUUCUGAUUUAUUAUCUGUCUCCCCCUUCCUGCAUUAAGAGAUAAAUUCUGUGCGAGCAGGGGCUUUGUCUGUCUCAUUCACUCUAUUUCCAGUGUCUCCAAGAGUGGUGCUCAGUAAGCGCUCAGUAAGUGUGUGCUGAGCAAAAUGAUGAGUCUGCACCAAGAGCCUCAUUUUCUAGAUGGGAGACUGCAGCAGGGCACGUGAACGACCUGCCCGAGGUCUCACACUGGGCGGGAGGGGUGGCCAGGAGCUCGCUGGCAGGACCAGGUUUGUGCCGUUUGCAGCUGGUUUUGCCCUUUCUAACCUGCCCUGUGGCAUGGUGAUAUUUUUCCUGGGGCCCUUCUAUGAUAGUGUGGAAGUUCCAUAAAAUAUCUUUGUUCCUUAAAAAAAUUGAACACAAAUUAGUUUGAUUUGCAAAUUUAAAAAUGUGAGUCUUUCACAAGGCAUGGUGGCUGUAGGAGGCCAAAGCAGGAGGACCGCUUUGGCCCAGGAGUUGGAGGCUGCAGUGAGCUGUGGUGACGCCUCUGCACUCCAGCCUGAGUGACAGAGCAAGGCCGUCUCUAAAGUAAUAAUAAUAAAUGAGUCUUUCCGUGAAAUCCAGUUCAGUUUUACAUUGAUCAAAUGGCCUUUAAUGAAAAGAACAAAUCCCUCAGUGCACUGUCUGACCCCUCAUGGUGGCGCACGUGAUGACACAUGCAAGCUGCUGGAGACGUGUAGCGCGGCGAGGGGUGCGAGGGGCUGCCGUCACCCGACACCUUUGUCUUCUUGGUUUCUUGGUAAAGUCGAUGCAUCCGACGGGGGCAGGUGAGAAUUUUAGAGGUCUCCUGUGUGCUUGUCAGCGUUCAGGUUGGAAGGCAGAGCGUCCCAGCGGCGGCACGCAGAGAGGCUCGGGGUUGGUGUGGACAGGCCUGGCGGGGUCCGAGCCACACACCGCGUGCAGCUGGGCCAGCCUGGACUGCGCGGGUAGCUCGACUGAGCCUGCUUUCUUGCCCAUAGGGUCACCUGCCCCUCCUUGGCCUCUGUGUGCCCGUGAGGUAUCAAGGCUUCGUUCAUUGCCUCCCGCGCCCCCCCCCAGGUGCACCAUCCAUGUCAAGCCCUCUCCCGGGUGGGGCCCUGGUCAGGGGCGCCUGUGCAUGGAGAAUGGGCACGAGGAUGGGUACAGCCAACAGGGGCAUGUCCCCGGGUGCCGGGUGCAGGCCCUAGGGCGCAGUGGUGAGGCCGGACCACCACUUGCAGCUUGGGGCCAGGCGAUAGGGUUCUGUAGUUGGGCAGCAGGCGAGAGUCAAGGAGGCUGGUGGAGGCUUCUGCCCUGUGGGGGGCACGGGCUGCGGGCCAUGAACUUGCGAGGCCACGGGGCCAUCACGCCAGGGAGUCUCAAAUGCCACAGGGGAAUGAAGGCGAAGGAGGGGUGCUCAGGUUUCCGCUCUUGUACCCCUGGGCCUUGCAGCACUAGAUCAUCUGGAAGAUACAGCCAAGAUGAUAAAAGGCGCGGAUCCCUCCGAGGAGGUGGUACGAGGCCAUGUUGGCACGUGGGAGUCGGCCGCCCCGGGAAAGCCGCUCUCCUUGGAGCACACGGACGCCUCCUGCUGCCCGCGGUGCGAGCUGCCCACCUGCUCAGGAGGAGGGGCCCGUAACUUCGUUCACCCAGUCAGCAGUCACAGAACACCAGCACAGCAGGCAGAGCCAGCGGCCUCCGAAGUGGCCGCCUCGAGUGUGCCACACGCAUCUGUCUGCUGAGCCUUGGUGCUGGAGCUCAGCGGCCCAUCGGGAAGCCAGGGGCUUGGAGUGGGAUGGCUCUGGGGCCGAGUCCAGGCCCCACCAUGUGCCACCAGGCCAAGUCACUUCCACCCUUUUCUUACCUUGUUUUGGCCGCUAAGUCAGCAGAGGCCCCAGGUGACUCUCAAGCGCCUCUGGAGACUCGGUGUGGCGGAUGCUGCCUCCACCCGUUCUGGUCCAUUCCGUGCACCAGCCCUGCACCAGCCCUCGCCCCUUCCUGCCCCGGGUUCUGUAGUCACCACCUGCUGUCAGCCUCUAACCAGGACCUGGCACAGCUGACACCUUGUGCCCAGGGGCUGUAGAGUCUGCAGGGUCUACUGUGAGGGAGGAAAACAGAGCCACCUGGGCGAGUGGGGCUAGGAGGACAUCGGGGGUCAGAGGAGUAGACAGAAGGGAUAGAAAGAGGGGCCUAGUCAUCCCAUGCUCCUCCCAGCCCUGCUCCCUAAAGGCCCUGUAGGGUUGUCCCUCGGGGCCACCUUGGGCUCCCUGAGGGUCCUUGUUUGACUUGCAAGUGCCCAAUGGAAGGUCAGUUGGAUGGAGAUGACAUUGAGUGUUUUUCCAGCUUGGAGACGGGAGAUCAAAGCAGGAAGCCGCCGAGGGAGGCACAGGGUGACUGUGGAGAGGAAGCAGAGGGGGACACGGAGUCUGGAACCCAGGAAGCAAAGUUCCCAGCUGCUCCUGUUGGCUAUGAUGGCAUCUCAGACUUUCCUUGUUUUCGACGACUCUGACAGUUUUGAGGACUGGCGGCCCCUGGCUUUCUGGAAUGUCAUUUUGGCUGACUUGGUUGUUAUCAGUCAUUGGUGAACACAAGGCCCAGCCAGGCCCGUCUGAGCCUUAUGCUGGGGAGGUCCCACAGUAGGGGAGGGUUUGGGGCUAAAUAUACCAUUUUUCUGGUCAACAUUUCAAAGUAAAUUCUUAUCCACCCAUCUGUGCAUUCCAGAGAUGUAAACGUCAUCUCUAGGGCCCUACGAGGCCAGCCCCUCUUCUGCUGAGCACUGUUUAUUUUGCAGCUACCUGGAGACAAAGGGGCCUGCUUCACUGCCGCUCCCCGAGCCCCAGUGCCACUGGAGUGGCGUGCCGGGCUGUGAGUAGGUGACUCUGGAGCCAGCCUGCCUGGGUUUGAGUCCCAGCUCUGCCACUAACAGACCCAGCAACCUGGCCAAGUGCCUCAGUUUCCUCACCUCAGUCCGAGUGAGGACAGGGUGGGACCAGUUAGCAUAUGCGAACAUGCUGGCAUUGAGUCGGCUCUCUGUGAGUGGCAGUGAUCAUUAUUAUGUAAAAGCACCAGUUAUAACUCUGGAGAUUACGGACACGUGGCGAAGACAGGUAGAGAAAUGAAGGUUUAAAUGACCGUCCUUGGGUGGCAAGGCCAUUAGCCGUGGAGUAGGAAGCCUGCAUGUUGGGGUGUUUUCUCUCCAGCUCCUGAGCAAAGGCCAUGUGCUCAGGUAACAAAAGUGCAGCGUCUUUAUGAAAGUAGACUGAAGUCGGCACCAGGGCAGGGACUGUUUCUGCCUUGUUCACCGUUCUCCCUAGACUGGGUUCAUAAGAGGCAUCUAGUAAGUGCUGAAUAAAUACUUGUGGGAUGAAUGUGUGGCCAUGGAGAUGCACAACUACAAAGCUCUCUUGUAUUGUCUAUCUCAUCCGAGCCAUAAAACUGCUCUGUGAGAAAGGGUUUGGUGAUACUAUCUCCAUUUUAUAAGUCAAAGAAAUGUAAGGGAAAUAAAUAUCUAUCGAGAGCCUUCCCUGGGUGGAGGCUUUGCUGGUGUCACCUCCUUGAAUCAGUGCAUGUUGUCUUUGGGGGAACGUCAUACCACAGCUGGCUGCAGACCCAGGACCACGACCUCUGCACCCAGACCCCUGGUGUGGGCUCUGCCUACUGCCCCAAAGCCUCCAACCCUGCUGUUCAGAGGCGUCUGCCCAGCCGUCCUCAGCCUGGCCCCGUCGGAAGCCCGGGCACCAAGAAAUGGAGCUCCCUCUUGGUGCUGCCACCGUGACAGGGAAGGCAGGGCUGCUCCUUGGCCAUACAGAAACAGGCAGGGGCUAGCCGGGGCCUGUCUCCAUGUGCCUCCUCCUUGAAGCCUGAAUCUUUUCUGACAAGACCCCAUUACAAGGGACCAUGCAGCCUUGCCCUGAGCAUGCCCCAUCUCCCCCACAGCACGCCCCAUCCGCUCCUGCAAGAGGAGGCAAGGAGGGCUGCCGCUCUGGGCCCUCCAGUCUCCGGGACACCCACUUGCUCCUUCCUGGACACCUUGUAGCUGCGGCGACUGAUUCCUAACCGUCUUCUCACUGCCUUCAAAUCACACAGUAGGUUGCAGGGAAGCCUUGCAAGGCCACAGAGGGCUGGUCCCUUAGCACCACCCCCCAGGGGCAGGGUAGCCAUCCUGGGUAGGACCUGCGCCAGCACCAGGUGUCUCUGCGGAGCGGGGCUGGGCUGUAAUGGCAGGAGGGGAGCAGUGGGCGGCAGCACUGAGCUGCACUUACUCAGCUUCAUCCUCAGAGCCAGUGGGUGUGGCCCGUGAUGGGAGGGACAAGGGUGCCACGCCCCGGAGUGGGGUCAGGCACUCCAGGGUCCCUACCUAGGGCUCCAUCAACCAUGUUGCCUCUGCUAAGACUGGGCCACACUCUUGUACUUUCUGUGACCUCUUCGUUGCCUUCAGGAUCUCGCCAUGGUGACCACUCAAAGUCAGCUCUGGACCUGGAGACCCUCUUUCCACAGCUCCGGGCCCGGCCCCGCCAUGCAACUCUGGCUGAAAUGGUGGGGCAAAGCCUGGGCCGGGCCGGAGAUCACAGGCUAGCCUUUGCAGUGACUCGUGUCGUGGGUCUGGGGACUGGGUUUGAUUGGUCAGGGCAGGUGUUUGCAGGAACCAACCACAGCACUGCCCCAGACAUGGCAGUCACAUCGUCUGAUUCUGGCCAGCUGUGACCGGUGCUGGGAGCCUGAAGCUCCUUCCUGCUUUCCCCUCACCUCCCCCUCCCAGGUGGUAUCCCGAGAGGCUGCUGGCAUUGCCUCCUGACUGUCUCUCAGACCCUCGUCCCCUCCUCUCUACCCUGGGGUCACAGCCUGGUCCAGGCCUCGGCAGCCCCCCCCUCCUGCCCAGCCACACCCCUCAGCUGCCAGAGUGACCUUUCUGAAUGCGCCAUGGACCAGGGCGCUCUGACCUGCUGACAGCCCUCGGGCUGCUCAGGGCAGAGGGCAACCCCCAGCAUGUCAUGCCAGGCCCGUGGGACGCCCGCCGGUGCCCCUCUGAUGUUCUGCUUGAGCCACACAGCGCUGCCUGCACAGUCCCAGCCAUUUGCUGCCUCCCUGCCUUUGUCCGGGCUGGGCCCCCUGCCUGGGGCGCCAUCCCUUCACAGUGUCCUCCAUCCUCCGGCUGACCUGCGCUUGAGACUUGGGGCAGUCAUGGGCUCUAGGCUCUCGGUCCAGUCCUGCUGCACCUCUGUGCUCUGAUUCUAGGGACUCGGCUCUGUUCUUGUCCCACUGCGGUGGUGGUUGUCUGGAAUAUGACUGGAAUAUGACCUCCGUGAGUGCCAGUGUGGUUUCCCAUGCACUGUGGUAGGCACAGCACUGACACAGUGCCUGGGACACAGAGGUGCUCAGCAGAUGUGUUCGAGGGACGAAGGGUGGGAAGAGAGCUCGGGCACCGUCUGGCCCUGCAUUGGGCAGACCCUAGGACCAGCAGAUGACCCCAUCUCACGCAGUGACCAUUGCUGUCUUUGACCAUCUUUCUUGUCACAACACCAAAAUCCCUGGCACUUCCGUUUAACCUUGUCCCAGCAACCUCGCAGAUGGAGAUUGGCUGCUCAGCAUCUGUCACAGCUUUUAAUAUAAAUUCCAGACAGAUUUCCUCCUUUGUUAAUGGCAAAUUAAAAAGCCCCAAAAAGGAAGUGCCACCCGCUCCCCUCCACUGUAGGGGGGACACGUGGGUGGCACCACCUCCCAACACCUGUGGUAGUCACAGGGCGCUUGGAACCUGUAGAAGCCGCUGCGAGUCACCCGGGCUGACUGGGGAAGACCUUGGGGGGCUGGCCAGUGCAGAGUCCAUGUGAGGGGGUCUCUAGGGUGACCCCUGAGGUCUUUUGAGAGGGUCUGUUGUGUUGCGGAGGGAGGAGGGAGGCCUGCCGUGGAGAGGUUCUGUCCUGUCCACGCUAGGCCUUGGAGUGGCUCCUGGCGGGGCCGUAGUGGGAGGGCCUGCCAGCCUUCCGGCUCCCUCCUCAGUGCCCCAGGUUGCCUUGGUGCCAGGUUUCCAGAGAGGCCUAACAGAACAGACCCAGUUUUCUGGUCCCAGGGGAGGAGCCAGGAAGCAAACGCCAUAGGUGUGUGGCUCUAGGUGUUCCCUGAGGUGUGAGGAGUUAUUUGUGGGCGUGGUGGUGGGCGAGAGGGCCCCUGUGGGACAUAGAUGUGGCAAAUGAAAACACUUGCCAGGAAGUGCCGGGGCACGCUGACGCCAGAACGUCCCUCAUCGCUCAUGUGAGAUUCCGGUGUGUUGGACAUCCUGGGAGCAGUCUCCCUCGAGGUUGGUGGGCACUCCUGGUGCCAGUCGGUUAGGAAGAGGUGGAUAAGGAAUGUCACUUCCUGGCAGGCCCAGGACCCUCAAGAUAUUUUGGGGACCUAAAGAAGAGAGGAAGUCACCCAAAUCUACAGGUAUUACAGGAAGAGUUUGAUGAGUUUGGCUUUUUUCCAUUGACAAUUUUGGCGUAGUCGGCAGGACCUCGGAGAAGAUUCAGGACCGCCUAAGGAGCAGUGCAAACUCGGCGCCAGGUACCGGCAUGGCAUGGCCCUUUUAGGCCUCCGACUCUGAGCUUCUCCUUUGGCCGGACUGGACCUCCCUUUUUGGUUGAUGGUCUUGGUUUAUUCUGAGCUGGUUCUUUUCCUAGGAAUUGUUGUUUGGGAUCCUAAUUUAGGUUUAGAGGUGCAUUCUAAAAGGUCUUCUCCAUUGUCUUUUUAUCCUAAAAUUAAUCUCAAUUGGCUUUUCUCUAAGAAAAAUAGAAAAUCCUUUAAAAAGGAGGAAAAACAAAUAGAAUGACUGUUGGGCACCCCAGUUGAUUUACGGUGCCUCUACUUGCAAGUAUUUUUUGUUAAUGAAAAGAUUCAAAGGCAUUCCAGGUUUUCUAGGGCUCCAGCUGGUUAUAGCUAAUUCUUGUGCACAAGUUUUUAAGAAAGGGCAAAAUAACGUCAAAAAAAAAUUCAGAGCUGAAAUGGUCCACCCCCACUAUUAAAAUGUCUCAAGCUAUCUCUCUCUCUUCUUUUCUGGCUACUCUAAAACCGAACUUUUUCUGUUGAUCUUAAGAUAACUCAUUGUUUAUGGUAUUUACAAUUGAAAGGCUACCUGGAGACCCUGCAGCCAGUUCUAGCUAAAAUGCUAACAUUGAAAACUCACUUUUAACUGGAAAAAAAGGGGGGGGGGGUAAAGGUUUUUAAAAAAAUCAAACUGCCAUGGAAACUGCUUUACCCAAAACUUUGAUCCACAGGCCUAAUUAAGUUACCUAUCAGGUCAACUAAAGUUUGCCAUGUAAACAAGUUCCAGUCUCAUCAGAAGAAAUUUAGAUCCAGCUUUCUUUUACAGACUGGCCGACGCUGCUACCAGCUUUCUGAGGGCAGCACGAUCAGGUAACUUGGACAAAGCUUUGGAUCACCUGCGGAACGGGGUAGAUAUCAACACCUGCAACCAGGUAAGCGAGAUGGCAGGCCUGUCCUCUCUGCGGUGCAGCUCCUGCCCGGUGCCGCUCGCUCAGAGCUUUGAAACUGCCUCUAUUAACCUCUUCCCAGCGGCCUCAAAAAUCCCCAAGGGCUCCCGCCAGAGGCAGGCCCUAACCUCCACGUCUCAUCGUGGCUGCCGGCCGGUCCCCCGCAGCCUCCUCUCAGAAGUGGCGGCUGGCCCCUGCUGCUGUCGCAGAACACGUGGCCUUUGGAUGCGGGCAGGAGGAAGGGCCUUUGAAGGGAGUUGUGUCAGUGGGGACAGCGAAUCCGCUUUCCACCAGGCCCUUUGCGGGUCCUCAGCCGGGCUGGGAGGAAACCAGGCCUCGCUGGGCUCGGUGCCCACGAGGGCAGGUCUGCGGGCGCGGCGGGCGGGAUGCCACGGGCGGGAUGCCUCGGGCCGGCCCGGGCCACUCCUCACCCUGAAGCAGGGCUCCGUGUCCACAGGGGGCUGGUGAGGACACACGAUGCGUCUGGGACGGACUGGAGGGCAGAGUGGGGUUUGGGGCCAGAGACCUAGGAACUAACUGACAGAGAGGGGGCUGCCCUCCAGGAAGAGGGCAGGUGUGUGCGAGGCUUGGGCUGCGGAUUGGUGACUUGCUGUUUUGGUUUGCUGCUAUUUGCCUGCUAAUAGAAUUGUUUAGGCAUACAUGCUAAUUUAGUUUCUGAUUUAGAAUAAAUUUACCAAUGGUGACUUUUUUUUUUUUACCAUCUUAAAAUUUGUUUUUAACUG